AGACAGCCCAGUAAGUCAUGAACACUCUAGCUAGAUAAGUCAAGCAAUAAUAUGUGGAAAAUAAAUAAAUAUGCAGUUCCAAAGUAUAAGUCAAAUAUUUCUUGAAUUCAUAAGAUUCUUUUCGCGGUUUCAAGAUUCUUUCACAUAUUCAAUUUAUCAUGUCGAUCCUGGACUAUGACCACAUGUUCUCUGUGGCAGGGUCAUCAACACCAACUAAUCUUCUUGCGGUGAGUCCUUCAGGACAGUCAAUUGCCAACGUAUCUGCCCCUAUUGGCGGGGUCCUCAACAUAGCCAGGUCGAUAGUUCAGUUUGUUCUCUAUUUCAUAUUUCAGUUAUAUAUAAGAAAAAUCAUACAAUAUCAAAACCAAAUGUCGUUCAUAUCUUAAUUUCUUUCAAUUUAUCGGAUUCAACUCAACAGCCAGAAACUAUGACCACAUGUUCCCUGUGGUAGGGUCAUAUCACCGACUAUUCAUCUUGCGGUACCAAUGUAUUAGCCCCCAUUGGCAGGGUCCUCAACAUAGCCCGACUGCAAGUCUGAAUCUAUUUCAAGUCAUAAUCUUUUCUUACAUUAUGUUUAGUGUUCCAAGCCAAAAGGUACAAUGUCAGAGCAAUUAAACACAAUUCAAAUCAGAAACAAAUACGUUCAAUCAUAAUCAUAUAAUAUUCUAAAAAUACACAUAUAAUUCAUGCAUCAAAUUCGAAAUUACGAAUAAUUCGAUUCGUGAAACAUAUAUAUAGUUUGCCGAUAAAUCUAGAAAAGAGGUUACAUCACUUACCUUGCGAACGCGAUCCACGACAAAUCCAAUUAAUUCUGCAA
RNAcentral lists this long non-coding RNA (817 nucleotides) under Phoenix dactylifera (date palm). RNAcentral describes it as "long non-coding RNA (PDAC_LNC009357)". The record is from RNAcentral. Lineage: Eukaryota; Viridiplantae; Streptophyta; Magnoliopsida; Arecales; Arecaceae.